Molecule: small nuclear RNA, 109 nt
Filed under: Nannospalax galili (Upper Galilee mountains blind mole rat)
Lineage: Eukaryota; Metazoa; Chordata; Mammalia; Rodentia; Spalacidae
Source: RNAcentral
GUGUUUGCCUCAGCAGCACAUGUACUUUUAAAAAGGGUAUAACAUGGAGAAGAUUAGGAGGGCCCCUGAACAAGAUGACAGGCAGGCAUAUGAAGUGUUCCACAGUGAA